Molecule: long non-coding RNA, 2853 nt
Organism: Aegilops tauschii subsp. strangulata
Lineage: Eukaryota; Viridiplantae; Streptophyta; Magnoliopsida; Poales; Poaceae
Source: RefSeq, a predicted model, not a curated record
UCGCCAGCAUUUUAUUUGCUGAAUUUCGUUUUGGUUUCCAAGGCUUUUUAAACAUGCGAACUUUACUGUGUUUUCCAUGGAUUUCGGAUUACAACAAACACCUUUGGAGCAUCCGUACUUGCACAACCAAUUUGACUGUAAGUGCUAUUUUUUGUGCACUUAGUUAAAAUAAAUAUAACAUAUUGCCAAACUGCAGAAAAAGACCAAAUCCAAACUCCCGCAUAUUGUACGAAACUGAACCUCAAGUACGGCCAAACAUCAUCAACACCAAAAGUCAGGAACCUAAACUACUAAACCUAUACGCCCGACCAGCAUUAGUAUAUUCGAACUGCCGAUGAUGGAGGACCUGGCCGUCAACACCAUCACGGCCUGCGCGUACCGCAGCACAGCUUGGCACUGCUCUCUCGGCCCAGCUGCAUAGCAGACGCCGGCGACCUCGAGAUGGCCAUGGGAGACAGCCGCCUCGAGCACGGCUGGAGCCAAGUCGUCUAUAGAGGAGCCCGCCAUGGCCGUGGGAUAGGAUGGAGCCAGCUCAUCCUACACUGAAUCCAUUCUUUUCAGACAACGGACACCAUGUCAUUUUUUCCUGCUAAUCUACACUUCCAUGGUAAUCCAUGGUGAAGUUCAGGUUCAGAUGCCCCAAUGGACAAAUGCCAGAUAGAGAUGAACGCACGCGAGGAGACGACCAUCCCCGAGGCAGCCGACAUUGAUGGAUGGAGCUGGUGGGUGGCUCGAGGGGGCACUGUUGUCGGGGUGGGCAGCGCGGUGGCCACGCGCGGGACCAUGGUGUCUAUUCGUCGGGGGGUCGCGCAUCCCCGGGAGAAGGCGCGGAGGUUCGCCAGGGACUUGGCCGGGGCCGGCGACCCUGUGGCGGCUGCCGCAUCCAUUGAGCGAUGCACAUGCAGAGGAAGAAGCUAGGGCGCGAGGAGGCCGCAGCAGGAUGCGACGACGCGUGCUGGCGGCGGACGGAUCCGGUCACAGGGGCGGCACGGCGGCCGGAACCAGGUGCGAGGGCGGCGCGGUGGCAAGACCCGGGCGCGAGUGGCACCGAGGUCAGAUCCACGCGAGGGGCCGGUGCGGGGGCCGGAUGCAGGCGAUGGGAGGCAGGAGGUGUGACGGAGCCAGGGGCCGGGGCGGGAGGCGCGCCGGAGUUAGGCGGCCAGCUUCGGAGGCUCGCUGCUCCAAACUUGUAAGGAUGAUGCUAACAAAAUGAUAAAAUAAAAUGUCACUAAACUUUUUCUUAGAAAUGGUAUUCUGAAGACCUCAUCAAGGGUGAUGCCAGAGUUGGCAACAUCCAGUUCACAUCCAAAUAUGGUACAGAUCUUGGUGUAUGGCCAACCAAACAAUCGGAUGAAGGAUAAUGUCUUGAUUGAGAUUAGUAUAUUGGUGUGAGUUAUUGAAAAUUUCUCACUGAGUGCAAUAUGCAUAUCACAUUCGAUGUCAAAAGAAAACACGUGAAAAGGCACUAUGCAUUAACCUUACACAGGAUAGAUCGAGAAACAAAUUAACCCAGGUUAUUCGACUGCUCCAAUUAGCGGUUCGUAAAGAAAAAUCAAUCAGGAAUUUGAGGCCCACACAUGGGUAAGGAAAAAAAAUUCCUCUUUACCGCACCAACGCAAAGGCAUGUUUAUAACUUUUAUAAAACUAACCUAGUCGAGCUGGACCUAAGGGCCACCCUACACGAGCUACACUCUGCACCUAUUUCAUAGAUCGUCCCUCAUAGUCCAACUUGCUUUUAAUUUUAUUUUUUCCAGAAUGCAUUAACAUUCUCUUUUUGAAAAACACGGACAUUUUCUUGAAUCAUAACCUUUUUAAAGUUACAAACCUUUUUAACAUGCAAACACUUUUAGAAUUACAUGAACGUUUUUAAAAAGGGUUAUUUUUUUAGAAAAUGUGAACGUACAUGUCCUCUUUUAUGCAUGUGUGGCGUGCCCCUCUCACCCUCUCUCUCUUCCCGCGACCAACACUUCUUCUGGUCGGCCCCACCACUGAAACAACAUAUUUUUUUUCUUAUUUCCUUUCCUUUCCCUUACCUUAUCUCCUCAACUCUUCUAGUGGGCUCAGUUUGAGCUCAAUGAGGCGUUUCCCACAAGAUGAGAUGGUGAGAUGCAGUCCGCCGUCUAGGGCCAUCGCCGUCGCUAGCGACAAGUAGGGGUCUGUCGCGGAUAGCACGGCCCGUGUACGGCAUGUCCAAGCCCGGGCCUAAGCUGUGGCGGCUGCUCCCAUGCCUAUGCUCCCCUCAAUUCGUGCUCGGAAAUGAUUCACACAAGAUGAGAUGCGGUGUGCCGUUCGAGGUCGUCGCCGUCGCCGGAGGCAAGGCGAUAGCUAUUGCGGGUAGCACCGCUUGCGUCCGGCGCGCCUAUGCCCGAGCCUAAGCUAUGGCAGCUGCUCCAUGCCGCUGUUCCCCGCCAAACAACAUCGUGUGCGGGGGGGGGGGGGGGGGGGGGGGGGGGGGUCAGCUGGUACCUCGAGAUACAGCAGGAGCUCUUUGGAGCUCGAUGCAAGCUCACAGGCAGAGGAGGGUCUAAAAUUUGUAGAUUCAAGGCGCAACAACUUACCUAUGCAUGAUGAAGUGCCAGAAGCUGCUUCCAUGCUCGAGAACACAGUUGAUGCAUGCUGAUCCACAGAGAGAGCAAUUUUCUAUCAAUCCUGAUCUAUUCUCAUGUGAUCUAGGGGGCAACAUUGACAAUGUAGUAGAUGGGAAGGAGAAAGGAUGUAGCCGGAAAGAUAUUUUGGCGAUUAUCUGUUGUUACACAAGAGAAAAAAAGUUUGUUUUGCUGAUUAUCUAGAACAAAUUAGAGAGGUACGCUGUGUUUUAUUGAGUCCAACUUCCAUGUUGUGUUUCUCCUUUAA